RNAcentral lists this ribosomal RNA (733 nucleotides) under uncultured bacterium. RNAcentral's name for it is "bacterial SSU rRNA". It matches the Rfam family "Bacterial small subunit ribosomal RNA", at positions 771 to 1504 of the family's 1533-position model. The record is from RNAcentral.
AACAGGAUUAGAUACCCUGGUAGUCCAUGCCGUAAACGAUGUCUACUAGCCGUUGGGGCCUUUGAGGCUUUAGUGGCGCAGCUAACGCGAUAAGUAGACCGCCUGGGGAGUACGGUCGCAAGACUAAAACUCAAAUGAAUUGACGGGGGCCCGCACAAGCGGUGGAGCAUGUGGUUUAAUUCGAUGCAACGCGAAGAACCUUACCUACUCUUGACAUCCAGAGAACUUAGCAGAGAUGCUUUGGUGCCUUCGGGAACUCUGAGACAGGUGCUGCAUGGCUGUCGUCAGCUCGUGUUGUGAAAUGUUGGGUUAAGUCCCGCAACGAGCGCAACCCUUAUCCUUUGUUGCCAGCGGUCCGGCCGGGAACUCAAAGGAGACUGCCAGUGAUAAACUGGAGGAAGGUGGGGAUGACGUCAAGUCAUCAUGGCCCUUACGAGUAGGGCUACACACGUGCUACAAUGGCGCAUACAAAGAGAAGCGACCUCGCGAGAGCAAGCGGACCUCAUAAAGUGCGUCGUAGUCCGGAUUGGAGUCUGCAACUCGACUCCAUGAAGUCGGAAUCGCUAGUAAUCGUAGAUCAGAAUGCUACGGUGAAUACGUUCCCGGGCCUUGUACACACCGCCCGUCACACCAUGGGAGUGGGUUGCAAAAGAAGUAGGUAGCUUAACCUUCGGGAGGGCGCUUACCACUUUGUGAUUCAUGACUGGGGUGAAGUCGUAACAAGGUAGCCGUA